Molecule: long non-coding RNA, 260 nt
Filed under: Lathyrus oleraceus (garden pea)
Lineage: Eukaryota; Viridiplantae; Streptophyta; Magnoliopsida; Fabales; Fabaceae
Description: Pisum sativum (pea) long non-coding RNA (PSAT_LNC029921)
Source: RNAcentral
AUUUGACUAUGCAUGCAAACUUCAAAAGAAAGCAUCCCAUAUGAGGUUCAACCACAUUUUCUUCCCCGUACACGUCAUGAAGUGUUUGAGAAGUCAUGAAAAUCCAAAAAAUUUACAAUGGUUGUUCCUCCCCGACCAUUAACACGACAAUUACAAGACUAUUAAAAUCAAAAGAUUAAAUUUCAUACAAAUUGUUUUUAAAAAAUAAAAAAAUUAGACAAGGAUGAAAAAAAAUACAAGAAAAAAGAAAAGCAAAAAAA